AACGAACGCUGGCGGCAUGCCUAACACAUGCAAGUCGAACGAGACCUUCGGGUCUAGUGGCGCACGGGUGCGUAACGCGUGGGAACCUGCCCUUAGGUUCGGAAUAACUCCCCGAAAGGGGUGCUAAUACCGGAUAAUGUCUUCGGACCAAAGAUUUAUCGCCUUUGGAUGGGCCCGCGUUGGAUUAGCUAGUUGGUAGGGUAAAAGCCUACCAAGGUGACGAUCCAUAGCUGGUCUGAGAGGAUGAUCAGCCACACUGGGACUGAGACACGGCCCAGACUCCUACGGGAGGCAGCAGUGGGGAAUAUUGGACAAUGGGCGAAAGCCUGAUCCAGCAAUGCCGCGUGAGUGAUGAAGGCCUUAGGGUUGUAAAGCUCUUUUACCCGGGAUGAUAAUGACAGUACCGGGAGAGUAAGCUCCGGCUAACUCCGUG
Molecule: ribosomal RNA, 433 nt
Filed under: uncultured bacterium
Lineage: Bacteria
Description: partial 16S ribosomal RNA
Rfam family: Bacterial small subunit ribosomal RNA
Source: RNAcentral